RNAcentral lists this ribosomal RNA (468 nucleotides) under uncultured bacterium. RNAcentral's name for it is "partial 16S ribosomal RNA". It matches the Rfam family "Bacterial small subunit ribosomal RNA", at positions 28 to 507 of the family's 1533-position model. The record is from RNAcentral.
GACGAACGCUGGCGGCGUGCUUAACACAUGCAAGUCGAACGGAAAGGCCCUGCUUUUGUGGGGUGCUCGAGUGGCGAACGGGUGAGUAACACGUGAGUAACCUGCCCUUGACUUUGGGAUAACUUCAGGAAACUGGGGCUAAUACCGGAUAGGAGCUCCUGCUGCAUGGUGGGGGUUGGAAAGUUUCGGCGGUUGGGGAUGGACUCGCGGGUUAUCAGCUUGUUGGUGGGGUAGUGGCUUACCAAGGCUUUGACGGGUAGCCGGCCUGGGAGGGUGACCGGCCACAUUGGGACUGCGAUACGGCCCAGACUGCUACGGGAGGCAGCAGUGGGGAAUAUUGCACAAUGGGCGGAAGCCUGAUGCAGCAACGCCGCGUGCGGGAUGACGGCCUUCGGGUUGUAAACCGCUUUCGCCUGUGACGAAGCGUGAGUGACGGUAAUGGGUAAAGAAGCACCGGCUAACUACGUG